GACGAACCGAGCGAACGUUGUUCGGAAUCACUGGGCUUAAAGGGCGCGUAGGCGGGCUAUCAAGUCUGGGGUGAAAUGCCCACGGCUCAACCGUGGAACUGCCUCGGAUACUGACGGCCUCGAGGGAGGUAGGGGCAUGCGGAACUGUAGGUGGAGCGGUGAAAUGCGUUGAUAUCUAGAGGAACACCAGUGGCGAAGGCGAGUCCCUGGACGACACCUGACACUGAGGCACGAAAGCCGGGGGAGCAAACAGGAUUAGAAACCCGUGUAGU
Molecule: ribosomal RNA, 272 nt
Filed under: uncultured bacterium
Lineage: Bacteria
Description: partial 16S ribosomal RNA
Rfam family: Bacterial small subunit ribosomal RNA
Source: RNAcentral